RNAcentral lists this ribosomal RNA (1638 nucleotides) under Triticum aestivum (bread wheat). RNAcentral's name for it is "partial small subunit ribosomal RNA". The record is from RNAcentral. Lineage: Eukaryota; Viridiplantae; Streptophyta; Magnoliopsida; Poales; Poaceae.
AUGAUAUGUUCACAGAUUCAAAAGGACCUUGCUACAUGUUGUGCUUUGGAGGUAACCAAAGUCAUCAAGAAUGAGCUUGGAGAUAAGAAUUUUGCGAUACUUGUUGAUGAGGCUAGAGAUUGCUCAAUAAAGGAGCAAAUGGCAAUAAUUUUGAGAUUUUUGGAUGAUAAUGGGGAGCUUCAGGAGAGAUUUCUUGCUAUUAAGCACAUCACAGAUUGCACAUCUGCCGGAAUUAAAGAAGCAUCGUUUCAUGUCUUAAAGUACCAUGGCUUGUCUAUUAAUAGGCUACAUGGACAGCGUUAUGAUGGGGCUUCAAAUAUGAGAGGAGAAUUCAAUGGUUUGCAAAAGCUAAUUCGUGAUGAGAGUCCAUAUGCUUUCUAUGUUCACUGUUUUGCCCAUCAGUUGCAACUAGUGGUUGUCACAGUGGCUCAAUGUUGUCCGGUUAUUGCUGAUUUUUUCAACUUUCUUCCCUUGAUAGUGACUCAGGUGGGUUCAUCCUGCAAAAGAAAAGAUGCAUUGCUUGCAAAGCAUCAAGAUGACUUGAUAGAGAUGAUGGAGAAUGGUAAGAUAUCAUCUGGAACUGGUUUACAUCAAGAAACUAACCUAGCUAGACCAGGAGCUACUCGUUGGGGCUCACAUCUUAGAACCUUGCUUCGUGUUUACACAAUGUGGAAUGCAGUGGUUGAUGUGCUUGCAAUUGUGAUUGAGGAUGCCCGGGAACACACUUCUCAAUGUGGAGCUUCAGGUUUGUUGGUACAGAUGGAAUGCUUCCAAUUUGUGUUCAUCAUGAUAUUCUUAAUAAACUUGUUGAACAUCACAAAUAUGCUAUCACAAGCUUUGCAAAGGAAGAAUCAAGAUGUUGUUGAAGCCAUGCAUUUGAUCUUGGAUGUGAAAGAAGCUUUGCAAACUAUGAGGGGCAAUGGGUAUGAGCCAUUAUGCGAGCAAGCAAAAAACUUUUGUGAGGAACAUGGCAUUGACGUGCCAAAUAUGGAUGAUCUUGUUGGAGCUAUGGGGCAAUCUGCUCGAAGCAAGAAUAAGGUGACUCGAGAUCAUUAUUUCAGGGUGAGCACAUUCAGUGUUGCGAUUGAUGCAACUCUCACUGAGAUGAACCACCGAUUCAAUGAAGUUAACACCGAGUUAGUGGAUUGCAUGUCUUGUCUUAAUCCAGCUAACAACUUCUCAAAGUUUAAUGAUGAGAAACUUAUUCGGCUUGCUGAAAUUUAUGUUGAAGAUUUUACACAAGCUGAAUGGUUGUUGCUAAGAUACGAGCUUCCAACAUUCCUUACAAAUAAUAGGAGAAGUGAGGAAUUUAAUGGAUGUCCGGAUAUUUCUACUCUUGCUCGUUUGAUGGUUCAAACAAUGAAACAUAGAACUUUCCAAUUGGUAUAUCGCCUUAUCGAGUUGACAUUGAUUCUUCCAGUGGCAACUUCGUCGGUCGAGCGAAUAUUUUCAGCAAUGAAGGUCAUCAAAACCAAUUUGCGCAAUAAGAUAUCAGAUGAUUGGCUCAAUGAUUUAAUGGUAUGCUACUGUGAGAAAAGGAUAUUCAAAAGUAUUCCAGAUGAUCAAAUUAUGAUACGAUUUCAGAAAAAGAAAAAUCGCAAAGGACAUUUGCCUCCUGAGUAUGAUGUUAUUUCUUAG